AGCGAACGCUGGCGGCAGGCCUAACACAUGCAAGUCGAACGAACCUUUCGGGGUUAGUGGCGGACGGGUGAGUAACACGUUGGAACGUGCCUUUAGGUUCGGAAUAACUCAGGGAAACUUGUGCUAAUACCGAAUGUGCCCUUCGGGGGAAAGAUUUAUCGCCUUUAGAGCGGCCCGCGUCUGAUUAGCUAGUUGGUUGAGGUAAUGGCUCACCAAGGCGACGAUCAGUAGCUGGUCUGAGAGGAUGAUCAGCCACAUUGGGACUGAGACACGGCCCAAAAUCCUACGGGAGGCAGCAGUGGGGAAUCGUGCGAAAUGGGCGAAAGCCUGACGAAGCCAUGCCGCGUGAAUGAUGAAGGGCUUAGGAUUGUAAAAUUCUUUCAACGGGGACGAUAAUGACGGUACCCGGAGAAGAAGCCCCGGCUAACUUCGUG
This 434-nucleotide ribosomal RNA is filed under the name uncultured bacterium. Its description in RNAcentral is "partial 16S ribosomal RNA". It matches the Rfam family "Bacterial small subunit ribosomal RNA", at positions 29 to 507 of the family's 1533-position model. The record is from RNAcentral.